This is a long non-coding RNA of Echinops telfairi (small Madagascar hedgehog), 653 nucleotides long. RefSeq lists it as uncharacterized. The record is from RefSeq and is a predicted model, not a curated record. The transcript has 2 exons. NCBI's taxonomy places the organism in Eukaryota, Metazoa, Chordata, Mammalia, Afrosoricida, Tenrecidae.
CCCGCCUCAGUACCGGGCACGGCUCUACGGCUGCGCGAAGUCGCGAACCCGGAAGUGCCUUGGGACUGGGCUGGCGUGAACUACAAUUCCCAGAAGGCUCCGGGCGUGAACGACAAUCCCCAGAAGGCUUCGCGGCGGCGGCGCCCUCGGAGGGGUUUCCAGGAGAGGGGCCUUGGCACCAACCCACAUGCAGUGCCCUAGCGGUGACUCCUAGUGACCCCAUAGGACACUCGUGGGUUUCCGAGGCUGUAACUCUCUGCGGGAGUAGCAAGUCUCAUCUUUUCCCUGCGAAGAGGCCGGUGGUUUCAAACCGCUGACCUUGCUUAGCCGCCUAGUGUAACCCACCACAAAGGUUCCCCUGUUAAAUACUUAAACGUCUAACACGUCGUUAACCAGCCCAACUUCCCAGGGUGGCUUGGGAGGAAAUUGUGUUAUUUCUACCCACUUGGGAGCCCUGGUGGCAAGUGGUCACGCGCUGGGCCGCAAUCCGAGCCAUCAACUGCCCCAUGAGGGCAAGACUACUUAUUACUACUGGGAAGUGGUACAAUGUUGGGUCACCGAGUCGGCAUUGACUCAAUGGCAGUGAGUGUUUUAGAUUUUUUUUAAAUUCUUGCCCACCUGAAAUAAACUGAAAGAGCCCUGUUACAUGGAAA